CACCACUCAAGCCUGGCUUGGUAUUGGGCGUCGGGUUAACCCGCGCCUCCAUUGAAAUUCGGCUGUGGUCUGAAACUCAUCCCUGCGUCGUGAGAAUUUAUUUCCUUUCGCUCGGGUGGGCGGCCGGCACGCCGUUAAACCAUUUUAUCACA
Molecule: unclassified non-coding RNA, 152 nt
Filed under: uncultured Capnobotryella
Lineage: Eukaryota; Fungi; Ascomycota
Description: sequence contains ITS2
Source: RNAcentral